GACGAACGCUGGCGGCGUGCUUAACACAUGCAAGUCGAACGGAAAGGCCCUGCUUUUGUGGGGUGCUCGAGUGGCGAACGGGUGAGUAACACGUGAGUAACCUGCCCUUGACUUUGGGAUAACUUCAGGAAACUGGGGCUAAUACCGGAUAGGAGCUCCUGCUGCAUGGUGGGGGUUGGAAAGUUUCGGCGGUUGGGGAUGGACUCGCGGCUUAUCAGCUUGUUGGUGGGGUAGUGGCUUACCAAGGCUUUGACGGGUAGCCGGCCUGAGAGGGUGACCGGCCACAUUGGGACUGAGAUACGGCCCAGACUCCUACGGGAGGCAGCAGUGGGGAAUAUUGCACAAUGGGCGGAAGCCUGAUGCAGCAACGCCGCGUGCGGGAUGACGGCCUUCUGGUUAUAAACCGCUUUCGCCUGUGACGAAGCGUGAGUGACGGUAAUGAGUAAAGAAGCACCGGCUAACUACGUG
This 468-nucleotide ribosomal RNA is filed under the name uncultured bacterium. RNAcentral's name for it is "partial 16S ribosomal RNA". It matches the Rfam family "Bacterial small subunit ribosomal RNA", at positions 28 to 507 of the family's 1533-position model. The record is from RNAcentral.